Molecule: long non-coding RNA, 1410 nt
Filed under: Bemisia tabaci
Lineage: Eukaryota; Metazoa; Arthropoda; Insecta; Hemiptera; Aleyrodidae
Description: lncRNA ENSSSA3NGG009355
Source: RNAcentral
AAACGAUGUGAGUUCUGACUCCAGUCGCUCUUCGUGCGACGGAGGCUACGCUGUUAACUUUCGAGACGGUUUUUAGUAUGGAAUACAUAUUUCGAAGAAAAUGUGAAAAGAUUUGAAAAAAGUACUUAGACAAUGGAAAGUUCUCCGCAAAUUUUUCAACACAAUUUACUGAUAACUGGUACUCGGGUCCCUAGGGAUCAACGAGCGAGCAACGAUGAGUCUCGAAUUGUCAUCACUCCUCAUUGUUGAUAUUGAAAACGAUGAUUGUUCUACAUGUGGACGUCAACAAACAUGUGAUUAGUGUUAACCGCCAAAAUGUCAAAUUUCUGUUGUGCGAAGCGACAAGCGAAAGCGAAGGAAUACCUACUAACCGUGAAAACCAGAAGUUUUUCUGUCAGUCUGUCACGAACUCACGAUUUCUUAAAGUUUUAGACGGCUUCAGAAGACUCAACCGAAGGAACACUGUACAUCAUGUGGAACGAACAGAUCAACGGGCUCAUGACGGGCCUGGCCACUCAAAUUGAAGCGUCUUUCGAACCAGUGCAUGCCAAAGUUCAAGAAAUCAAAACCUGGAUGGACCAAUUAACAGCCGACAUCAAUUCGGAGAAUUUUCAGCCUAACGCUCACUCUGAGCCAAUAGAAACAACAAGGAAAAGACAGAAAAGGACAAAAAAAAAUGCUGAAACAGGAAAAGAAACUUUGCCGGUGGAUGUAAGUCCUUUUGAUUCCAUUUUGAGCGAAUGUGGCUCAAGUAGAAUGACCCGCAGCAGUGGAGUGGCAAAAAAUGUGAACAAGGAAAGUGAUGUUAAAAUCAAUAUCAGUGAAGAAACUUUCACCAUUCCCACUCGCAGUAGUAGGGCAGCUUCAAAGGCUGCUGCCAGCAAGAUCAACUCUCAGUUAAAUUUAUCUCUAACCAAAAAACUGAGGAGACCAUCAUCUGAAGGAAGAACAGAGGCAUCCAUGGAAUUCAUUCCCCCUGUAUCUUCCACCGUGUUAGCAUGUAAGAAUGAUGGACCACUUCUCAAUGGAAGUCCUGGGCGGAGCGUUAAACAGCAAAUCCAAGUGUUCGAAAAACUCACCGCUCAACGCUCCCCGGCCCCUGAAGUAGGAGAAUCAAGUGAUAAAGAAAGUUUGCCAAAAACUCCUGCUGUACGCGUAACUCGGUCUAAGGCUCGGUUCUCAGGAAAGAUAAAAAAGAACGGCUCAGGAACUAAAACGUUAAUAAUCAAACCUAAGGUAAUGCAACUCAAGGUGAAGAGACUGUCAACUGGUGCUAAACCCAGACUUUCAGGGCCUCUUGAGAAAGAUAAAGAGGUGAAAAGUGGAGCAGGAAGCUCAAAACCACAAGCAAUCUUCCCCAGCAAGAAAGAAGAGGAAGAAACACUAAGAAAAAAAGAGAAGAAUUACUGA